RNAcentral lists this transfer RNA (72 nucleotides) under Ovis aries (sheep). It matches the Rfam family "tRNA". From Rfam's summary of the family: Transfer RNA (tRNA) molecules are approximately 80 nucleotides in length. Their secondary structure includes four short double-helical elements and three loops (D, anti-codon, and T loops). Further hydrogen bonds mediate the characteristic L-shaped molecular structure. tRNAs have two regions of fundamental functional importance: the anti-codon, which is responsible for specific mRNA codon recognition, and the 3' end, to which the tRNAs corresponding amino acid is attached (by aminoacyl-tRNA synthetases). tRNAs cope with the degeneracy of the genetic code in two manners: having more than one tRNA (with a specific anti-codon) for a particular amino acid; and 'wobble' base-pairing, i.e. permitting non-standard base-pairing at the 3rd anti-codon position. Lineage: Eukaryota; Metazoa; Chordata; Mammalia; Artiodactyla; Bovidae. The record is from Rfam by way of RNAcentral.
UCCCAAGUGUUUCAGCUGGUAAAGAAUCCACCUUCAAUGCAGGAAACCUGGGUUCAAUCCCUAGUUUGGGAA